UCGGCGACGCCGCCCGGGGGCCCCGUGCCAGGCCCAGGAGAGGGUCCGCCGUCCCUGCGUCCCGCCUCUCCCGGCCCCGCUCCGCCCACAGAGUCCGAUGGCGGCGGCGGCGCUGAGGAACCUGCCUCAGUGUGACCUUUGAGGAUGUGGCCGUGUACUUCUCCUGGGAGGAAUGGGAUCUCCUUAAUGAUGCUCAGAGAUGCCUGUACCACAACGUGAUGCUGGAGAACUUGGCACUUAUAACUUCCUUGGGUUGUUGGCAUGG
This is a long non-coding RNA of Lagenorhynchus albirostris (white-beaked dolphin), 265 nucleotides long. RefSeq lists it as uncharacterized. The record is from RefSeq and is a predicted model, not a curated record. NCBI's taxonomy places the organism in Eukaryota, Metazoa, Chordata, Mammalia, Artiodactyla, Delphinidae. The transcript has 3 exons.